GAGGAGCCGGCGGGCGAGGCGGCGCCGGCCGCGCUCGCCGUGCGCGGCCGGGGCGUUCCGCACCGCUUCCUCCUCU
RNAcentral lists this transfer RNA (76 nucleotides) under Collinsella sp. AK_207A. Its description in RNAcentral is "tRNA-Gly(gcc)". Lineage: Bacteria; Bacillati; Actinomycetota; Coriobacteriia; Coriobacteriales; Coriobacteriaceae. The record is from RNAcentral.